GACGAACGCUGGCGGCGUGCUUAACACAUGCAAGUCGAACGGAAAGGCCCUGCUUUUGUGGGGUGCUCGAGUGGCGAACGGGUGAGUAACACGUGAGUAACCUGCCCUUGACUUUGGGAUAACUUCAGGAAACUGGGGCUAAUACCGGAUAGGAUCUCCUGCUGCAGGGUGGGGGUUGGAAAGUUUGGGCGGUUGGGGAUGGACUCGCGGCUUAUCAGCUUGUUGGUGGGGUAGUGGCUUACCAAGGCUUUGACGGGUAGCCGGCCUGAGAGGGUGACCGGCCACAUUGGGACUGCGAUACGGCCCAGACUCCUACGGGAGGCAGCAGUGGGGAAUAUUGCACAAUGGGCGGAAGCCUGAUGCAGCAACGCCGCGUGCGGGAUGACGGCCUUCGGGUUGUAAACCGCUUUCGCCUGUGACGAAGCGUGAGUGACGGUAAUGGGUGAAGAAGCACCGGCUAACUACGUG
Molecule: ribosomal RNA, 468 nt
Filed under: uncultured bacterium
Lineage: Bacteria
Description: partial 16S ribosomal RNA
Rfam family: Bacterial small subunit ribosomal RNA
Source: RNAcentral